AUUGAACGCUGGCGGGAUGCUUUACACAUGCAAGUCGAACGGCAGCGCGGACUUCGGUCUGGCGGCGAGUGGCGAACGGGUGAGUAAUGUAUCGGAACGUGCCCAGUAUCGGGGGAUAACUACGCGAAAGCGUAGCUAAUACCGCAUACGCCCUACGGGGGAAAGCAGGGGAUCGUAAGACCUUGCACUAUUGGAGCGGCCGAUAUCGGAUUAGCUAGUUGGUGAGGUAACGGCUCACCAAGGCGACGAUCCGUAGCUGGUUUGAGAGGACGACCAGCCACACUGGAACUGAGACACGGCCCAGACUCCUACGGGAGGCAGCAGUGGGGAAUUUUGGACAAUGGGGGCAAACCUGAUCCAGCCAUCCCGCGUGUGCGAUGAAGGCCUUCGGGUUGUAAAGCACUUUUGGCAGGAAAGAAACGUCGCGGGCUAAUACCCCGUGGAACUGACGGUACCUGCAGAAUAAGCACCGGCUAACUACGUG
This 484-nucleotide ribosomal RNA is filed under the name uncultured bacterium. RNAcentral's name for it is "partial 16S ribosomal RNA". It matches the Rfam family "Bacterial small subunit ribosomal RNA", at positions 30 to 507 of the family's 1533-position model. The record is from RNAcentral.